Long non-coding RNA from Ornithodoros turicata, 635 nucleotides. RefSeq lists it as uncharacterized. The transcript is spliced from 3 exons. NCBI's taxonomy places the organism in Eukaryota, Metazoa, Arthropoda, Arachnida, Ixodida, Argasidae. The record is from RefSeq and is a predicted model, not a curated record.
CUGGCUUUGUGAGGGAAGGAUACACUCAAGAACAGGUCGACAGAAGGACGGGUGUCGAAUCGGUUUAGAAAGCAACCUGAAGCUACGGCAAAACCCCAACUCUCACCAGAAAAAAUUGGUGUCCUAGAAGACUGCUUUGAGGACUGGCUCGUGAAGCGUGGUGCCAGUGGUCCAUGCUUGAAAGAAAGGUUGAACUCCGUGAAAGGCCACCUGAUUUCAGCUCUACGGGAUGCUGCAAGACCAGCAAAAGACACACCGACCACACCCACAAAUGCCACCUCAUAAGGACCUUAUUUCUGCUGAAGUUUCUGGUUGUCCUCAUAUCUUCGCAGCAGAAGAAGGAUCCCACUGCUGCCUGUGAUGCAGGAGGUCAAGUAAUCACAGCACCUGCACACAGAUCCAGUCCACAGACCUGGACGGCAUACCUAGGCAUAUUUUACAUGUACACUUCAAGUACUGCAAGUUUCAACUCUGCAAUGCAAGACUAUAUCUGUCUGAAUUCAUGACACUGACUUGUACCAGUAAGCUUUGUUUGCGGACAGUACAAUGAUUGGUCCAUGUCUAGUUUAGGUCCGCCACUCGAUUUCAACCUUGAAAUCUCCAUACCUGGAUGUAAUUAUGGAAGGUGCAUCAUA